CAUCAGUAGGCCAUUGUUUGGGAGGCCUGGUCACACGCUCCCCCGACUGCAGUGUCUGAGACCUGCCCAGCCGUACCAACCUCCUAUCAUGAAGACGUUCCCCCAUUAACCUUUAAAGAUGAUUCAGCAGCCUGUCAAGCUCAGCAAUGCUUAGCAUUUCCUGCCUGGCCUGGGUGAUUCAUUAGCCCUAAUUAGAGAAACAACUGAAGAGACUGCAAAUGCGAGAAGCCUAGUUCCCAGGCCUGUGCUGCUGAUCUCAUACCCAGAGCGCCAGGACCUCUGGGAGCUCACAGCUGAGACAAACUCUGACCCAUUUGACAGGCAGACAGAGGGUUGCUGAGGGAUCUUCCAACUGGAGUGAGAGCCAAGGGGAGGCAGUCCUGGCAUCCUGGCAGGGCAGAGGAGGGCAAGGGGAGAUUUGCAGGCCAGUGGAUCUCAGACUCUGACCGGUGCCCCACGGAGCCCUUCUGCACACUGCUGCCCCUGCACUGGGGCAUGGAGAGGGAGCUGGCCCAGGUGAGGAUCUCGUCUCUCUAGAGUGGCCCCCAGAAGACAUCAGAUGGAAGCCAUUGGCCAAAGAAAGAUGGCCAUAUCUGUGACAACCUGCCCCGCAUCAGAAGGGGGCUAAAAGGCUGAACGGGGAUCCAAGCCCUGCCACGAUGCCCUGUCCCAAGCAGGUAUUUGGUGGGGUGCAUCACCUCCCGUCAGUCUGACCUGUACUGUCUUCUAACCUUCAGCCAUAGCGUAUAUAGCCUGUCGUGAAGUCAAGUGUGCAGCAGUCCCAUUCCUGCCUAUGGGUGAGGCUCCAGAAGGGAAUGGCCCAUGCACUAAGAGAAGGCACCAUGCUGAGGAAACCAUCGCAGAGCCUGGCACUGCCAGGCAUGGGUUAGCCGGGCCUGUUUGCAGCCUCCCCCUUGAGGAUCUCCUGAGAUCACAGUCUGGAUGGGGACUCUGAAGCCUGCUAUUCAAGGCACGUGCCCAGCUCAGAUGAAGGUUUUUGGGGUUUAGCUUCGUGGGCAGAGGACGAGCCAUGGAGCCAAAGAAGAAACUAGGGGCCAUGAGAGGAGAACUUGGCAGGGACCAGAGCAGCCGCAGGGCCAGGGAGCUCCCCAAGUGUGCACUCUGCUCUCCCUAGCAGAGAAUGCUUUGAUCAGAGCUAUGGCCUUUGCUGGGGGUCAGGAGGAGAAGGCUGGGACGGCACAAAUAAAUAUUUCUUUGCUGGAUCUCAAUGAGCUGCAAGGUGCCUGGGCAGUGUGAUGAUGGGCACCAUGUGGUCAUUAACAUCGAUAAAUAAACAGCCCACACAAGCCCGUUCUUGGGUUUCACAUAGGGCCCUGGCCUAGUCACUAGGUCGCUGCCCAUACUUGGUGGCCUGGGAAAGGGUUGCGUGGGCUAAGGGCACCAGAGAAGGUCUGACAGAGAGGAUGGGGUUGGUUGUUCUUCUCAGUGCAAUGCAUUGGCAGAGCGGGGAUGGCACACGGCUGAUGGCACUCGGCUGAUGGCACCAGUUUGGCCCUUUUGGGUAUUAGAUUGCUGCCAUUCUCCUGGUUUACAGGUCAGCAUCCACAUACACGUGUGCUCAAAUGAAUGCA
This is a long non-coding RNA of Dermochelys coriacea (leatherback sea turtle), 1592 nucleotides long. RefSeq lists it as uncharacterized. The transcript has 3 exons. The record is from RefSeq and is a predicted model, not a curated record. NCBI's taxonomy places the organism in Eukaryota, Metazoa, Chordata, Testudines, Dermochelyidae.